UAUAGAGCAUUCCAUAUAUCAAGCCAUUGCCAAGUUCCUUCACCAGGUGUUCUGUAAGGCACCCGUGGUGUACCAACAGGCAUCAUUGAAAUGCGCGCCCUGGUAGCCCUCUUGUUUGAUAAUCCCAGAGAGAUCCUCCGGUUGACGGCGGUGUAGAACCCGGCGGUGACAUUCGGGCACGACGACUCCGACGAGCCUAGCUUGGUCUGG
Molecule: unclassified non-coding RNA, 210 nt
Filed under: Hevea brasiliensis (rubber tree)
Lineage: Eukaryota; Viridiplantae; Streptophyta; Magnoliopsida; Malpighiales; Euphorbiaceae
Source: RNAcentral